Molecule: non-coding RNA, 915 nt
Organism: Peromyscus maniculatus bairdii (prairie deer mouse)
Lineage: Eukaryota; Metazoa; Chordata; Mammalia; Rodentia; Cricetidae
Source: RefSeq, a predicted model, not a curated record
ACAUUCCAACCUCUUCACAAUCACUGACGUUUAAAUCCGUUAACCGGCCAUCUUAGAAUGUUUUGAGUAGGUGUGGCUGCUGCUGCUUACCCCACCUUCCUCCCCCUCCUCCUCUUCCUCCUUCUUCUCUUCUGGAAACUGUGGUUCCCACUCUGACUUACUGCUUACAGUAGAGACUUUUUAUUGCUGAUGGAAGCAGGAACCCUCUUUGGGCAUGUCCCGAAGGCGAAUCACUGCCAAUGCACAUUGCGACAAUAGAGCACGUUCAUAUGGGGUGUGAUUCCACAGAAACACGUGACUGGACAGUCCUUUAUUAGAAACCUUACUCCUCAACAGCUUGUCUACUUAACAGUGUGAACAGCCCCCAAGCAGAUCCGAUUUCACCGCUGCGGUGUGGUACGGAAUUUCAAAUUGGAUGUGGGUUGUUCAGUGGACUUGACUGGGGCUGGGAAGACAGCUGGAAGAGUGAGACCUGAGUUCAGCAGCGACAUAAAGAGUCCACUACGGACUCACACAAGACAUGGGAUCAGAAUUAAACAAAUUCCAGGUCACAGGAACCUUCAGGAUUCCUACGGGGAGGCUGGAGCCUCUGUAUUGGCCAGCAGGACUGUGGCGAUGUCUGCUGGCUGCCUAGCAUGGUGCAGUUCCCAGGAUUUCCUGGCGUUCAAGUGCCACCCUUAGGGCUCAAGCAGAGACUGUUCUUCUUUGUAAUUUUUUUUAACAUUUGUGUAUUUAUUUGUUGUGUGUGUGAGUGUGCCUGUGUGUAUAAGUAUGCUUGUAUAUGAGGGUGCCCAUGAGUGUGUAUAUAUGAGUGAGUGUGCCUGUUUGUCUCUGUGAGUGUGCCUGUAUGCGUUUGUGUGUGUGCCUGUGUGUAAUUAUGUGAUGUAUGAGUGAGCAUGUAUGUUUGUGAGUAUG